This 315-nucleotide long non-coding RNA is filed under the name Elaeis guineensis (African oil palm). RNAcentral describes it as "long non-coding RNA (EGUI_LNC038629)". The record is from RNAcentral. Lineage: Eukaryota; Viridiplantae; Streptophyta; Magnoliopsida; Arecales; Arecaceae.
AUCAUAAAGAUACAGUUCUGGACUUGGUAUUCAGUAGAAUGUGUUUUGCUACUUUCUGUACUACUGCCUUACCAAGUGCUGAAGAUUUAUACAUGGAACUAAUCCUUUUGGUGGCUUAGGUUCCGGUGUGCAUUGCUUUUUAGUGCUCUUAAAUUGUCUGCUAGCUGAUAUAAAUUGAUACAUAUAUGUAUACAUAUAUAUAUAUGUAUGUAUGUAUAUAUAUGUAUACAUAUACAUAUGUAUGUAUAUACAUGUAUACACAUACAUGUGUAUGUAUACACAUACAUACACACACACACACACACACACACACAC